GCUACGGGACGGGGAGCAGCCGGGCAGGAGGGAACGCAGCAGCAGCAAACCCAAAGCAGGGAGAAGGAAAAGCAUCGCAGCACUGAAACGCAGCUGGCCCAGUGCAGGAGGUUCCCAGCCCUGGGGAAAAGAUGCUGCGUGGUGCCGGCCGCGGGCUGCUGUGCUCUGCUCACAGCUCAGCUGCUCACUAAGGGACUCAGCCGACCAGUUUUCACACCUUAUCCUCAGCUUUCACCAGUUGCCCUCACCCUGUAGAUACCUGGUGACGUGAAAAAAGUCCCAAAGAGCAAAUCCCCACUUUCAAUAAACCUAGUUCCUACAGGAGAAGGUGCUCUGGUUCCUGCUCCUCUUCCCAGCCCUUAGGUACGCACAAGGCAGCGCUCUGGGCGUAAGCACCCAUCCCCAUUGCAGGCACCUGUCCCCAUCCCAGCACAGCGUUGCAGCACACGCGGCAGGAGCCAUGUGUCAGGUCUCCAUGAUACCAACCACGGCUUGGGCAAAGGAGGCAAAGCCCGGAUGGAGGGACGUCGGGUGAGAAAGGGAGCUGGGUCUGCUCCCUCCUAGCUGCAGAGCCCUGCUUUCAGCAGUGCCAUUUAUGGGAUUUGGGAUAAAGCCCACCAUCUGCCCCAAGAAAACCUUGGUAACUUGUGUAUAGAUGUUAUGACUGACCAUCUGAGAUGUGAGAAAAUGCUGUGUCCACUGCAGCCCCUUCUGGGAACACAGCAUGAAAAUGGAAGCUACACGGAAGACGUACGGCAUGUGGAACAUGCAUGGGAGCUGCAUGGAAAAUGAAACAUGGGAGUUGACGGAAGAUGGGAAUGUCAGUCCCCACCAUGCAGCCCUGCCUACGUGGCACCGCCGCCCUGCUGUCCCCCUGAGUUAACGAGAUCCAGGAUUAAUUAACUCAGCACCAGCUGGGCUUAGCAUCACUCUGAACCAGACCUGGCAGUGCCUGGUUUGCUGCUCUGGCUCCAUGGUGCAAAGCUCCUCCUGUGAAUGCAGAGCACCAGGGGGCACCUCCCAGCCCGGCUUUAAUGCUUCAUUUACCCACACAGAGACCUUAAGGUCCCUUCCACCUCUGGCCAUCAGCCAGAGGCCACGAAACCCGUGGGGCACAAGGCAAAGCAACUGGUUCCAGAAUGAUGGGUACAAAUGGGUGCUCCCAGUAACAGUGAUCUUGACACACUGCUACUUUUACAAUGUAGAUUUGCUGGUACCAUCACCUCUGCCUUCCCUCUGUGAAAGUUAGAAUUAGAGACCAGAGCGGGAUCAGCUGAUGGACAGACAACCUGGCUUCAGGUUAGAAAAUCCCCUCACACUGCUGACAGUGACGAGGCCAGAGCUGCCCCGGCUGCACUGAGGUCCCAGCGUGGUGACCCAGCGAGCAGCACUGACCUGCGCUCAGCACAGUCACAGAGUGGUUGGGUAGGAAGGGACCUCACAGCACCCUCAGCCCCAUCCACUACCACGGGCUGGGUGCCCCCCAGCUCAGGCUGCCCACAGCCCUCCAUGGCCUGGGGCACCUCCGGGGAUGGGGAACCCGCAGCUCUGGGCAGCCAUGCCAGUACCUCACAACCUUCAUAGUGAAGAAUUUCCCCCUCGCGUCUAAUUUUCUGAUGGACUCACAAUGGGAGAAUAGAAGAGCAGCCACAUUCUGGUAGCUAAGUGCAUGUUCCGUGUGCUGUUACAGAAGCAGCAGUGGCCACACUGUCCCUGCUCGAUCUCUCUCGUGCUCAGGAUACGUGUGUUUGUUUGCUGCAAGGGGGGAAAGCAAAAGCAUGUGGUGCCAAAGGGACGUCCGCUGGGACGCGGGUGGAGCAGGGCGUCCUCGGAGCCAACGCUGCGGUGGAAAAAACCCAGUGUUGGGAGGAAACAGCUCCUUCUGCCUGCCUGAGGCUUAUGAGCGGGGCAAUCGCAGGCACGAAAGGCUGCAAAGUUCCUUCCUGAGAUCCAAAUAUUAGCUUUUACUCAUUUUCCAUUUCUGAAAACAAAUGCCGCUGGCCUGGAGCGCGCUAGCGAGCGUUUCACUUCCCAGCCCUAGAACAAAGGGCUGCACUGUGGUGCUCUUCCAGCCCUGGGACCGCUGCUGGAGAGGAAUCGAGAAGGCAAAACCCUGCCCUGGGCGUGGAACACAUGCCUGUGCCAUCCAGCAGGAUGUGGAAAAUUGCACUUGAACUGCACUCAGAGGAGCUGGAGCCAUCAGGAGCCUCUCUGGAGGCAGAGAAGUCCCUGUGCGACCACCAUCAUGCUACGGUACCGUGUGGAAGAACCCCACUGCGUUUCCCUGGGCUUUACACCAGGGAUGCUGCAGUGAAGCCCUGAAAUCUUCCAACUGCUUGAGAUCAUCAUACUAAUACGCCCAAUUUAAUUAUUUUUAAGCCAUUCUGGACACUCCCAGGCUGCGGCAUAGAGCCAUUCCAGCACAGGUCCUCACUGCCUCCAUCCACAGGGAUGCUCUGUGUCCACAGGAGAGCCAUGGGGGCAAGGGACACACAAACACACUGUGAGGGCUCGGCACCGUGGGAGAGCAGCACCCAGCACUGUUGUUGCGAAAAUCCUCCACAUUCCUUCAGGCAAUGGGGACUUGGAGCACAUUUUUGGAUGCCGGCUCCUGACUGAGUGCAGCCUCACCCAUCCCAGAGGUGUGUGGAGCUGAGCACUGUCCUCACACCUCAUGGCUGCAAAGGCUGGAAUUGCCCAGGGUUAGAGCAGUGAGCCCUGGUCAGGCUGUGCCUGGAUGCUGUAAGCACAGCACAUACCUUGCAGGCUAAAAGCAAACGGGCAUUUGGAGGCACUAAGACACCCUGAACUCACUUAUCAGAAGAAAGGAGCUUGGCAGACUCCGAUCCUCCAUUAUCUCUGAUAGCAAUCAGCAGCUCUUAACAUCUCCACACUCAGCAAAAUCUCCUUUUCCUUCUCCUGAGGGGAAGAGAAGGUGGAGGUAUAGAGAAUAAUUGAUCCUGCGGCAGCAGAAAGGGGGGAGAAGGGUUAAAAUCAUAAACGAUGCAAUGCACGCAGCGCGGCUGAUUGCCAUUUCCACGUGGUGACUGAUGAGCAGGAAGACUUGGCUCAGCUAUGACUUGGGUGCAUUCUUUUGGCAAAGUAUAAGAGAUGCAAAGUGGGAUGUCCCCGUGGGCACCCCUAGCAGGACCCCGGGCAGAGCAGAGCCCCAGAAAAGAUGAAAGAAGCCACGAUGCAACAGGCACAGGGCGCCUUCCCCAGCUGGGCAUCGGCAGCAAACUUGGACAUCUCUGUUAAAAAAAUAAAACGGGAAUGCGUGAGACGAUGCCUAUUUCUAGCUGCGGCUCCUCCCCUGUGCAUUUGGCCUCCCAGCGACUCAGUAAUUCAAGGCACUGCUUUUGGAGCUAUAAACAGAGCCCAAGUGGGACUGCCAUUGCUGAGCAGACAAACAAGGGCAGAGCACAGAGUGAGCCUGUGGGGGCGGGGGGCUCUGCAGCUGCAGCAAAGGGACCAGAAGCGUGUGUACCUUUGCACCCUCCAGACAAGUGUUUACCUCCACAAAAGCAGCCAGUCCUUGCUAGCUCUGUAAGAACAUUUCAUUCCCAUUUGUGAAGUAAACAAAGUGCUUUUUGCUGGGAAAGCAUGGGAUCUCCAUCAGGUUACAGACUGGGAACGACGCCACCAACAGAGGUUUUCCCAGGCAGCACAGAAGUCAAGGACUUCCUCUCCCCCCCUCCAGCCAUGCCUUCUGACCUUCCCACAUCACCAGAGGAAGGGCGACUUCUGAUGGGAGCACUUCUGGAGACUGUGGGAUGUGACAUGGGACAUGAUACGGGAUGUGACAUGAUGUCAGACACUGCAGGUGCUGGUAACAUCAGCAUGGGUGAUGGCAGCCACGUGGAGCUGGACUGCGAGGUCCUUGGGGGUCCCUUCCACACCAGGAUACUCCAGGACUCGGGGCUGUCAGGAGAAAUGGGGACAAUCCUUGGGUGUGUGCAGCAGCGUGCUUUGUACUUACAGAACCCUGUAUGCUUGUCCACUUUAUGUGAACACAAUGACUGGAAAACACUAUUUUCCAGCCAGCAUCUGCUAAUUAAAAUAAAAAGCAAUGCCAUACACUCUCUAGAGAGCUCUAGGCUGCUUGCAUGGAAUAAAAGAGACAAAUGUUAACAAUAACAGCAAGUCUCCAGCCCUGCCCUGAUGAGAGAAGCCUGUGCUCCCAAUGGGUUCCUUUGUUUGCAGCAACUUGCCUCCUCGUUCUGCAUGGUAAAUAUUUAAUGUGCCAUCUCGGGCAGCCCAGCUGCUGGGAGAAAAGUGCUUUUGGGGUCUGUGUCUGUGGGCCAUGAGGCAAAGCAAAAAGUAGGGGGUGAGAACCAUGGGGCCCAAAGGACACCCCACAGCCCAUGGCAACGCUGGGUGCCCUCGGAUGGAUGUGCACACAAAUGUGGUCCGUGCAGGGAGCGAUGCCAUCAAACUGAGAUGGAGUGUAAAACCAGGUAGCAGUCGGGCUAUGACAAAAGUAGGAGGCAAAAUUAUGAAAGUCCUGCAGAACAAUGGUUGCAGCUCUGGUAAUGAGAGAAUGCAAUGGUGCCUGCCUGUCCCAGCACCAAACCAGCACAAGGGGCUGAAGGGCAGGCAAGGAUGGACCAGCAUGCACGUGCUGAGCCCCAUGGGCAGGUGCAGACACAGCUGGAGGUGACGCACCAGUGGGCACACUCACCUGGAGGUGUCCCUGGCUGGGAUCCCCAGGAGCCCAGAAAUGCCUCCACCAAAGGAGGAACUGAAAUUCUGCCGUUACAAAAGGAAGCUGCAUGUGCUGGCACAUAAAAUAUUAAAUGUCUGCACACAGCUUUGAGCCGGGAACUUUGCCUUCUGUAUGCAGGCAGGGGUAAUUUACCUGCCACCCUGAUUAGCCCAGAACAGCAAGCAACACACAGCCAUGGCCAGCAGCCGCCAGGGACGCGCACAUCCAGGCUGCAACCCUGCUGAUUGCCUGCCCCCACCAGACACUCUGUCCCCAGGAAGUUUUCCUAGUUAGUGACUGGGCAAAAUGAAUCAGGGGAACAGGGUCCGGCCCCCCUCUGCUCCUCGAGCUGCUGCAUCACCCAGGCUGAGGUCAUGGCAGCAGGACUGGGGUGUCCCGACUGCUCCAGCCAGAUCCCUUCAGGAUUAGGUGGGUUUAAAUUGAUUCUAUGCACCUAUGCAUAGCAGACAUUGAGCUGUAAAACUGGAGGUGACCAGGGAGCACGGGGUCUCGCUGUGUCUCAACAGCUCCACCAGCACCUCCUUGUGCUGCCAUCCAUGGCCCCAUCUGCUCCCUGCGCCCACUCUCUGAGUCCAGCAUCACAGAAAAACUUCAGUUAUUUCUGCAUGGAUUUAAGAAAUAAAAAAACCCACCACCCUAGAUUUCAUUAAGGGAAAGGCAGACCUCAUGCAGCUAAUUUGGGAGAAGAAAAACUAUUUUCUUUCACACAGGCGAAGCCGUGGGGAUGGAAAUAAGUUCCUAAGUAAGACUCGCUGAAAGGAGCCGGGAUGACUCAUUUCUUCACUGCUGAAGCUGUAUUCACUCCCAGGCACCUCUAAUUCCUAUUACAACAAAAGACACCGGGAGUAUUGGGGAUCACUCAGGACAAGGCACAAGAGCUCGAUUUCCUGUAGAUGAAAGAGCAGAGAAUUAAUCCCCUGUAUCACCGGCUCCCCCAGGAUGGGCUCAGCUGGCUUCAUCCCUCACCCUCCACAGGCAGGAGC
Non-coding RNA from Meleagris gallopavo (turkey), 5709 nucleotides. The record is from RefSeq and is a predicted model, not a curated record. Lineage: Eukaryota; Metazoa; Chordata; Aves; Galliformes; Phasianidae.